Molecule: long non-coding RNA, 1080 nt
Organism: Entelurus aequoreus (snake pipefish)
Lineage: Eukaryota; Metazoa; Chordata; Actinopteri; Syngnathiformes; Syngnathidae
Exons: 2
Source: RefSeq, a predicted model, not a curated record
UAUCGAGGUCAAAGUUCGUGAGGGAUAAACAAAGCCAAGCGACUCCAUGCUUUUUUUUUUUUUUAAAGUCAACUUCAUCAGUUCAUGUUUUUUUCUUUUACUCUUUAGCGUUAAUAGUAGUAUAUAUAUUUCUUAAUUAUUGUUUAUUCCGCGUCGUGUAUACUUUUCAAUAUGCCGAAGACAGUUUGUGCAGCUGUGGGAUGUUCAAAUAGUACGUAUCGCCUCAUGAGAUGGAAGCAAACUAUGUGUGACAUCCAUAAGUGUUAUUUUGACUCAGGAAGAUGUGUUUGUGAUGCACCAUUCAAACUGUGCCCGUUUCCAAAAGAUCCAGACAUGAAAAUAAAAUGGAUUCAGGCCGUUAAUAGGAAAUGUAAGAACGCUAACAACAAGUGGGUGGACUGGAAGCCUACAAAAGACUCACGGAUCUGCAGUAAACAUUUCUUACAUGCUAAACCAACGGAUGACCACCCUUUGCCAUUGUUAGAAAUGGACUGUACAUCAACAUCAGCUACCGUGAAAAGAAGAAGAACACUAGUCCGGCAUGGACCUACACAAAUGGCUUCUGUGAACUCAGAAGCGUCAACUACUGCUGCUGCUUUCAUGGAUGAAGUUAUCCCACAGACUGGCAACGUAGAGGAUAGUUCUGAAUCCAACACACAACAACCCCACCAGUCCCCAAAACCCAACACUGGAGAGGAAUCUGUGGAACACGAUCAUAGUUACAUGUUCAGCUGCACAUGCUCCAAGGGUUGUACAUGCCUUGGCUGUUAGGAAAAACAAUUUGAAAUUGAUGCACUAAAAGCCAAAUCAACACAAAAUUAGCAGAUUAUUAAAAAUUGGAAGCACCUUUCUCAAAUUAGGGACAACUUGUUGUGGCGUUGAACACUUGCCUGCUAAGUUAGAAAUAGAUGGUGGCAAAUAACAGCCUGCUGGUUUGGCCUUAUGUGGCUCUGGGUUCCCUUGAUCCCACAUCUUCAAUGACACAGCAUUGGGAGCGCAGAUUUUCAAUGCAUUCAUCAAUUCUGUCACAGAUCCACUUUGCUGUUUUCUUUGGGCAUUAAACCGUUUUCUUUUUCCGAA